RNAcentral lists this ribosomal RNA (551 nucleotides) under uncultured bacterium. RNAcentral describes it as "partial 16S ribosomal RNA". It matches the Rfam family "Bacterial small subunit ribosomal RNA", at positions 120 to 662 of the family's 1533-position model. The record is from RNAcentral.
GGGGAUCUGCCCGAUAGAGGGGGAUUACUACUGGAAACGGUGGCUAAUACCGCAUAACGUCGCAAGACCAAAGAGGGGGACCUUCGGGCCUCUCACUAUCGGAUCAACCCAGAUGGGAUUAGCUAGUAGGCGGGGUAAUGGCCCACCUAGGCGACGAUCCCUAGCUGGUCUGAGAGGAUGACCAGCCACACUGGAACUGAGACACGGUCCAGACUCCUACGGGAGGCAGCAGUGGGGAAUAUUGCACAAUGGGCGCAAGCCUGAUGCAGCCAUGCCGCGUGUAUGAAGAAGGCCUUCGGGUUGUAAAGUACUUUCAGCGGGGAGGAAGGCGAUGCUUUUAAUAACCGCGUCGAUUGACGUUUUUUUGGGGGGGGAAGCACCGGCUAACUCCGUGCCAGCAGCCGCGGUAAUACGGAGGGUGCAAGCGUUAAUCGGAAUUACUGGGCGUAAAGCGCACGCAGGCGGUCUGUUAAGUCCGAUGUGAAAUCCCCCGGGCUUAACCUGGGAACUGCAUUUGAAACUGGGGAGGCUUGAAUCUUGUAGAGGGGGGG